This 355-nucleotide long non-coding RNA is filed under the name Vigna radiata. RNAcentral's name for it is "long non-coding RNA (VRAD_LNC008620)". Lineage: Eukaryota; Viridiplantae; Streptophyta; Magnoliopsida; Fabales; Fabaceae. The record is from RNAcentral.
CAUGGUUUAGUUUAGCUUCAUUGAGUGCAAUUGGUAGAGGGUUUAAUUUCUCUUUUAACUUGCCUUUACGCGUGCUUUGCCUUUAUGUGUUUUAUUUAUUUAUUUAUUUUUAUUUUUAUUUUUAUUUUUUUAUGCAUUUUUGGUGUGGCCCGCGUUUGUAGUGUUUGGAGGAGAGAGAUGCUUUAUAUUUUUUAAUGCUGGGCUACGUAACGGGAAUUUAAGAGAGAGAAAAUUAAAAGAACUUGAUUUUCUUUUUCAUUUCUUCUUAAUUUGUUUUUUUAGGGAUUUGAGGAAAAUGAUUUAGGGGAGAUGAUUUGAAUAAAUUUGAGAGUAAUUUUUUUGUUGUUGUUUUUUU